UACGUAGGGUGCAAGCGUUAAUCGGAAUUACUGGGCGUAAAGCGUGCGCAGGCGGUUUUGUAAGUCAGAUGUGAAAGCCCCGGGCUCAACCUGGGAAUUGCAUUCGAGACUGUGUAGCUAGGGUGCGGAAGAGGGAAGCGGAAUUUCCGGUGUAGCGGUGAAAUGCGUAGAUAUCGGAAGGAACACCAGUGGCGAAAGCGGCUUCCUGGUCCAGCACCGACGUCAGGCACGAAAGCGUGGGGAGCAAACAGG
RNAcentral lists this ribosomal RNA (252 nucleotides) under uncultured bacterium. RNAcentral's name for it is "partial 16S ribosomal RNA". It matches the Rfam family "Bacterial small subunit ribosomal RNA", at positions 524 to 776 of the family's 1533-position model. The record is from RNAcentral.